CCUACGGGAGGCAGCAGUGGGGAAUAUUGGGCAAUGGGCGCAAGCCUGACCCAGCAACGCCGCGUGAAUGAAGAAGGCUUUCGGGUUGUAAACCUCUUUUGGCAGGGACGAAGCAAGUGACGGUUCCCGACGAAUAAGCCACGGCUAACUACGUGCCAGCAGCCGCGGUAAUACGUAGGUGGCAAGCGUUAUCCGGAUUUAUUGGGUGUAAAGGGCGUGUAGGCGGGAAUGCAAGUCAGAUGUGAAAACUAUGGGAUCAACCAAUAGACUGCAUUUGAAACUGUAGUACUUGAGUGCAGGAGAGGCGAGCGGAAUUCCGUGUGUAGCGGUGAAAUGCGUAGAUAUACGGAGGAACACCAGUGGCGAAGGCGGAUUGCUGGACUGUAACUGACGCUGAGGCGCGAAAGCGUGGGGAGCAAACAGGAUUAGAUACCCGAGUAGUC
This 443-nucleotide ribosomal RNA is filed under the name uncultured bacterium. Its description in RNAcentral is "partial 16S ribosomal RNA". It matches the Rfam family "Bacterial small subunit ribosomal RNA", at positions 338 to 795 of the family's 1533-position model. The record is from RNAcentral.